This 468-nucleotide ribosomal RNA is filed under the name uncultured bacterium. RNAcentral describes it as "partial 16S ribosomal RNA". It matches the Rfam family "Bacterial small subunit ribosomal RNA", at positions 28 to 507 of the family's 1533-position model. The record is from RNAcentral.
GACGUACGCUGGCGGCGUGCUUAACACAUGCAAGUCGAACGGAAAGGCCCUGCUUUUGUGGGGUGCUCGAGUGGCGAACGGGUGAGUAACACGUGAGUAACCUGCCCUUGACUUUGGGAUAACUUCAGGAAACUGGGGCUAAUACCGGAUAGGAGCUCCUGCUGCAUGGUGGGGGUUGGAAAGUUUCGGCGGUUGGGGAUGGACUCGCGGCUUAUCAGCUUGUUGGUGGGGUAGUGGCUUACCAAGGCUUUGACGGGUAGCCGGCCUGAGAGGGUGACCGGCCACAUUGGGACUGAGAUACGGCCCAGACUCCUACGGGAGGCAGCAGUGGGGAAUAUUGCACAAUGGGCGGAAGCCUGAUGCAGCAACGCCGCGUGCGGGAUGACGGCCUUCGGGUUGUAAACCGCUUUCGCCUGUGACGAAGCGUGAGUGACGGUAAUGGGUAAAGAAGUACCGGCUAACUACGUG